RNAcentral lists this ribosomal RNA (786 nucleotides) under uncultured marine bacterium. RNAcentral describes it as "bacterial SSU rRNA". It matches the Rfam family "Bacterial small subunit ribosomal RNA", at positions 14 to 794 of the family's 1533-position model. The record is from RNAcentral.
UGAUCCUGGCUCAGGAUGAACGCUAGCGGCAAGCCUAACACAUGCAAGUCGAACGGUAACUUUUGGUGCUUGCACCGAAAGACGAGUGGCGAACGGGUGCGUAACGCGUAUGCAAUCUACCUUUUACUAGGGUAUAGCCCAGAGAAAUUUGGAUUAAUCCCCUAUAAUAUCAUUUAAUCGCAUGAUUUUAUGAUUAAAGCUUCGGCGGUAAAAGAUGAGCAUGCGUCCUAUUAGUUAGUAGGUGAGGUAAUGGCUCACCUAGACUCCGAUAGGUAGGGGUCCUGAGAGGGAGAUCCCCCACACUGGUACUGAGACACGGACCAGACUCCUACGGGAGGCAGCAGUGAGGAAUAUUGGACAAUGGACGAAAGUCUGAUCCAGCUAUGCCGCGUGCAGGAUGACGGCCCUAUGGGUUGUAAACUGCUUUUAUACAGGAAGAAAAACUCCGACGUGUCGGAACUUGACGGUACCGUAAGAAUAAGGAUCGGCUAACUCCGUGCCAGCAGCCGCGGUAAUACGGAGGAUCCAAGCGUUAUCCGGAAUCAUUGGGUUUAAAGGGUCCGUAGGCGGUUUUUUAAGUCAGAGGUGAAAUCCUGCAGCUCAACUGUAGAAUUGCCUUUGAUACUGAAAGACUUGAGUUAUUGUGAAGUGGUUAGAAUGUGUGGUGUAGCGGUGAAAUGCAUAGAUAUCACACAGAAUACCAAUUGCGAAGGCAGAUCACUAACAAUAUACUGACGCUCAGGGACGAAAGCGUGGGUAGCGAACAGGAUUAGAUACCCUGGUAGU